RNAcentral lists this non-coding RNA (300 nucleotides) under Streptomyces sp. NRRL S-1521. RNAcentral describes it as "Bacterial large subunit ribosomal RNA". It matches the Rfam family "Bacterial large subunit ribosomal RNA", at positions 1796 to 2085 of the family's 2925-position model. The record is from Rfam by way of RNAcentral. Lineage: Bacteria; Bacillati; Actinomycetota; Actinomycetes; Kitasatosporales; Streptomycetaceae.
GCGACUGUUUACUAAAAACACAGGUCCGUGCGAAGCCGUAAGGCGAUGUAUACGGACUGACGCCUGCCCGGUGCUGGAACGUUAAGGGGACCGGUUAGUCCGCUUGCGGCCGUGCCAACCUGAGAACUGAAGCCCAAGUAAACGGCGGUGGUAACUUUAACCAUGCUAAGGUAGCGAAAUUCCCUGUCGGGUAAGUUCUGGCCUGCACGAAUGGCGUAACGACUUCUCGACUGUCUCAACCAUAGGCCCGGUGAAAUUGCACUACGAGUAAAGAUGCUCGUUUCGCGCAGAAGGACGGAA